GCGCGUGUGGCUGGUGCGGCGCCGGUGAUUCCGCCGUCGGCCUCGCGCGAGGACGAUUCGCUGCUGGGUUCGAUUCCGGCGCGUGCG
RNAcentral lists this transfer RNA (87 nucleotides) under Burkholderia gladioli. RNAcentral's name for it is "tRNA-Gly". The record is from RNAcentral. Lineage: Bacteria; Pseudomonadati; Pseudomonadota; Betaproteobacteria; Burkholderiales; Burkholderiaceae.